UACGUAGGGACCAAGCGUUGUUCGGAUUUACUGGGCGUAAAGGGCGCGUAGGCGGCGUGGUAAGUCACUUGUGAAAUCUCUGAGCUUAACUCAGAACGGCCAAGUGAUACUGCUGUGCUAGGGUGCAGAAGGGGCAAUCGGAAUUCUUGGUGUAGCGGUGAAAUGCGUAGAUAUCAAGAGGAACACCUGAGGUGAAGACGGGUUGCUGGGCUGACACUGACGCUGAGGCGCGAAAGCCAGGGGAGCAAACGGG
Molecule: ribosomal RNA, 253 nt
Filed under: uncultured bacterium
Lineage: Bacteria
Description: partial 16S ribosomal RNA
Rfam family: Bacterial small subunit ribosomal RNA
Source: RNAcentral